GUGGGUAUAGCUCAGUGCUAGAGCGCAUGAUUGGGAUGCAUGAAGUCCUGGGUUCCAUCCCCAAGUACCAUCA
This 73-nucleotide transfer RNA is filed under the name Camelus bactrianus (Bactrian camel). It matches the Rfam family "tRNA". From Rfam's summary of the family: Transfer RNA (tRNA) molecules are approximately 80 nucleotides in length. Their secondary structure includes four short double-helical elements and three loops (D, anti-codon, and T loops). Lineage: Eukaryota; Metazoa; Chordata; Mammalia; Artiodactyla; Camelidae. The record is from Rfam by way of RNAcentral. RNAcentral also lists the same sequence under 2 other names.